UGAUGUAUCCACGUCUCGUUGUUGCCGUGUUCGCGCUUGCCUGCCUUUGGCAGUUCAGGCCUGCUUCUGGCUACGCUCUUCCUGGUGAGGUAGUGGAGUUGGAGCCUUGGACUUGGAACAGGAAUCACGGAUCUGAACAAGACUUAGAGAUGUUCCCAACACAAAAAAGAUCUAACACGCCGUCAACAUGGGCGACGAUAUUCAAAUACCUUCGUCAACACCAGCAACAAGGUUCUCAAAUUAGCCUCCCUCCAGAUCUAGCUCCACUUGAAACGCGGGCCACGGGAUCGAGAACGAAUGGACGCAACUGAGGAAAGAAGCCGCUUUCGCAAUCGCCAUAGAUCGAACGACGGAACGUUUAUGGACAAACGGACCUUGGUAUGGAAAUAAGGACUAAUUUAGUGUUAACGUUCCUUUUCAGCUACGAUAUCUGCUUGACUGUUGACUCUGCACUUAUGUAAGGAACGACCUUUCUGUGUUCUACAUAAAGAAGUUCAUCCUGGCUUGCUUCCUUGAAUAACAUUAUUCCAAUGUGCUACACAUUCUGAUAUUUAAGCUUCAGAGCAAUUCCCGCAACGCUCUGAAAGUGUGCAGCGUGGACGAUUCAGCUUUUGGGUUAACAAUCUCUCUUUUCGCCUUUAUAAGGUCAGUUGGCUUCAUGCUCGAUUGCUUUUGUCACAUCCUCUACUACGCUAUUGGUUCAUCACCGCUAUGACUGGUAUCCUUGGACAAGUUCAAGCAGCGAAACAAUGAUCGGGGUAAGAAAGGAAUUUUCGCCACUGACCAUAUACAUGUACAUUUGAAAAGAGAGGACAUGUUAUGUAACACAUCUGUAUUAGCCUAAGAAGUAGCUUCGACGUCCUCAUAAGAAGAGGAAUCUGGAAUUCGUCUUACCUCAAAUGCAUGCCUCGAUUCAUAGGGCUACUGAGAUUAGGGUGCAAGAGGUGUACUAAAAUAGAUUUUCGUCUCCUGAGAAAUAUUGAUAAAUGACACAAAAGUUCAGGGUUCCUGGCAUGAAGAACCACACGGUUAUCAGAGUCGGUCGUUUUGAAGAAAUAAGCCGAUCGCCAAUGAACAUUCUAGAAUUUAUUUUCUUCUAAUCAACAACAAGCCUAACAGGUCAUUUACAUAUCACGUGAGAAUCUAGUAGUUUUCUAAAAUCAUUUGUUUCUACACCUAUUGCAUAUCGAAUAAAGAUCUGUAAUGAAUAAACUUCAACAUUCCUAAGCAACGUAACAA
This is a long non-coding RNA of Lineus longissimus, 1239 nucleotides long. RefSeq lists it as uncharacterized. The transcript has 2 exons. The record is from RefSeq and is a predicted model, not a curated record. Lineage: Eukaryota; Metazoa; Nemertea; Pilidiophora; Heteronemertea; Lineidae.